GGAACUUAGCUCCUUUGAGUUUCCUCUUCUCCAUCAGCAUGGCCAGGGUUAUUUAUGAACAGCUCCAGAUAUUCUAACACACUUGUUGAUGCUCUUAAGGGGAUCCUGUCCAGCUGUCCCUGCCAAAGACACUCCCAUUAUCACCAGGACCUGGGCUCCACAUGUUCCUGCUUGAGGCUUGGGUUCUCGUAUUCUUUCAUCUUCAAGAUUUGCAAACAGGAGCACAUUAAUCUUCACAACAUCCGUGUGAGCUGAGCAGCUGGUACAUCUUAUGAUCCUCUGUAUUAAUGAUGGAAAGAUGAUAAUGAUGGUGAUAAAAAUUAAGACACAUCAAACAGCGUCAGCACUAUCACAUCAAAACACCCAUGGAUUUCUCAGGUUAAAAAAAAAAAAAGAAAAGUGGAAACUGUCAAAUGUAUUCUCAUCUAUUUUACUAUUAUACCGUUGCUAAGAUCCAACUACUUUUGAAAGUCUAACACAUAAGGAGUUGAAUUAUUGCAUUGUUCAAAGGGGCAGAGAAUUCUCUUGGGAAAUCAGGCAUUUAUUUUAAUCUUUUUUUUAAAUGAAAAACACUAACGGUUGCGUCAAGAAAUGUUCUCUAGACUCCACUGGGUCUCCUGUCUGCUCUUUAUCCUAGUGUGGAGAAGAGGUGACAUUAACCUUAGGAGGGGGAAAACUGCUGGAAGAGGGGAAGGGCUCAAGCAGGCCCUUGGCAGAGGAGGGACCUUCCAGGUAAAUCAGAUGGCCACUGCCUUGUACCCGCAUUGGAGAACGAAGGACCCCAGGGGAAACUCUUCCUGCCUUUGGGUCUCAAACGCCCAUGUAGUCCCCCCUCCCCCACAAGACCGCGAACACAAAUAAAAUCAGCUUUGAUUGUGGUGAUUCAAUUUGCUCUGGAAGAGAAGAGGACUCGGCGAAGGGGCCUAAGUGCACGUUCUUAGACUGACAGGGAGCGUUUCUCGGAGAUUUCUCCCGUUUCAACAAGUCAUUUGCCUAGUGGAAGGGGGAGGAA
This 1012-nucleotide long non-coding RNA is filed under the name Homo sapiens (human). RNAcentral's name for it is "HSALNT0247955". Lineage: Eukaryota; Metazoa; Chordata; Mammalia; Primates; Hominidae. The record is from RNAcentral.